UACAGAGGGAUAAUCAUGUGAAAACGUGACUAAUACCGCAUGUCAUUUGUUGAAGGCAUCUUCGACAAAGAAAAGGAGCAAUCCGGUAUGAGAUGGGCCCGCAUCUGAUUAGCUAGUUGGUGAGAUAACAGCCCACCAAGGCGACGAUCAGUAGCCGACCUGAGAGGGUGAUCGGCCACAUUGGGACUGAGACACGGCCCAA
RNAcentral lists this ribosomal RNA (202 nucleotides) under uncultured bacterium. RNAcentral describes it as "partial 16S ribosomal RNA". It matches the Rfam family "Bacterial small subunit ribosomal RNA", at positions 134 to 334 of the family's 1533-position model. The record is from RNAcentral.